This 20706-nucleotide long non-coding RNA is filed under the name Manihot esculenta (cassava). RNAcentral describes it as "long non-coding RNA (MESC_LNC005068)". Lineage: Eukaryota; Viridiplantae; Streptophyta; Magnoliopsida; Malpighiales; Euphorbiaceae. The record is from RNAcentral.
GCAGAGAAAUUAGGAAUUAUUACUCUAGCUAUGUAACCAUACUUGCCUUAUCAGGUACUGCUCUCCAUUUGCUCAUUGCUGACUGAUCCAAAUCCUGAUGACCCUCUUGUACCGGAGAUUGCCCAUAUGUAUAAGACUGAUCGAGCUAAGUAUGAAGCAACUGCACGCAGCUGGACACAGAAGUAUGCCAUGGGAUGAUAAAUAUUCAGAUACUGUAUAAAUGGGUUGUGUCUAUUUGUAGAAUGUGUUAAAUCCGUUUUAACUUUUGGACUUACUUAUUUGAGGGGGCCGUUUAGGGAAUGAACUUUUCCUCGGUGGAACUGAAACUAUAGUUUGAAGAUUGGCUGGAAAAUAACUGUAUGGUCAGGAUGUUUUGAUGUAGACAAUGUCUGUUGUUUUAAGCUAUUAUUUUCUCUGGUGUUAAAGCUCUUUUUUCACUUGGUGAUUUUGAUCCGAUAGUAAUGUGGCUCUUAUCGUGGGCCUCUGUUUCUCACAUAUGUGCCAUGCCAUAAAGUUUGGACCAUUGUUUUAGCCUCCAAAACACCAUUCGCUUUGAUGAGAGUAUCCAGGCGCUGGUCUCUAUAGCGGACAUCAAUUUUCCUCAGCCGAUGCUGGUACGUAUCUGCUAAUGCUUGAUUUGAGAAAUUUCUUUAAACAAUAUGCACCAUAUCAUAUGUUGGAGUUAAAAUAUAAAUGUAUGUAAUGGAGUUAAAAUAUAAAUGUAUGUAUUAUUUUAGAUGAUAGGUUAAUACUAUUUUUUGCCUACAAAUUUUGGAAUUAUCUAAUUAUUUCAAUAUAAUAUAAUAACACUCAUAAAGCGAUAGUAUAUAAUAAAAAAAAAGCUUGAUGUAUCAAAUCUUUCCAUAAAAAUACGGAUCAAUGGAUCAUUUAAGUAAUUGUUUUUAUUGUGUUAUCUUUUUAAACUUUUUACUAAAAUAAUAUGUAAAAUUUGAAAUUUAAAUUGUAAAUCCUCUUUCAUAGUUAAAUAUUACAAGUUUCAAAAAGAUUUUAUUUCUUAUAUAUAUAUUUUUAAAUUUUUUAUAUGUCCAUUUACAUAAAAAAGUUUUAAAAUUUUUGCUAUUAUAUAAUUUAAGUUAAAAUUUUAAAAAUUGAAAAAAUUAUUUAAAUUUAAAAAUUUUAUUAUAAUUAUAUCUAAAUUUUAAAUUUCAAUUAAAAAAAAAGUGUGUUUUACUCACAUGAAAAUAUGAUAUAAAUUAUUUUAUUAUAUUCAUAUUAUAUAGAUAAAUUUCAUUAUUAUACUCAUAUAUUAUAUAGAUAAAUUCUAUUAGUAUAAAAAAUCUAAAAUUUUUUUAUUAUUUUAUAAUUUAAUUUAAAUUUUAAAAUUUAGUGUAAUUUAAUUGAGAAUUUCUAAAUCUAUUGUUUUUUGUCUCUGUUUGGCCUGAUGCAAUAAAUUAUAACUUUAAUUUUUUAUGUUUACCAUUAAUUUUAACAGAAAUCACAAUAGAUUUUAUAUUUCUUAAUUUCUUAAUUUUUUAAAUAUUUUGCCAAGUGUUGAUCAUAAAAAAAAAAAUCUAUUCAUUAUAAAAAAUCAUGUCAUUGUAAUAAAAAGUGUAAAUUAUAGUCUUAUUGUUUAUAGUGUUAUUAAUAUUUUAUUACUGUUCAAUAAUAUAAAUUAAUAUUUAAAGAUACAAGUAUAUACGUUAUAUUAAUAGCAAAUAUUAUUAAAUCAAAAAAAUUAAAAGAACCAUAAAAGAGUUUAUACGCUUAACAUAUGGGAAAGAAUUAUGAUAAUAAAUUUUUAGAAAUUUAAUAAUAAUAAAAAAAAAUUUAAAAAUUUUAAAUUGAAUUAUAUCAAUUUUAUUUUAAUAGUAUUUAACUGGAUAAUAUAUUAAUAUAAUAAAAUAAUUUACAUCAGUGAACUCUGGUUAAAAUUUUUAAAUUUAAAUAUAAUUAUAAUAAAAUUUAUAAUUUUAUUAAUUUUAUUUUAAAUAAAAAUUAGAAAUUGAGAGUAGAAUAUGAGACUUAUCAUAUUUACUUAAAUGGAUUUACUAUCAAAUUAAAUUUGUGAGUCCAAUUUUAUUAAUUUUUAAAUUUUAAAUUAAAUUAUAAAAUAAAAAAAUAUUAAAAUUUUAUAUAAAUAGCCCAUUUUAUAUAUAAUUAACUUUUUUAUCUAUGUUAAUUUUAAAAAUAUAAAUAUAAAAUUUAGAUUACCCGAUCUGAUUUGAAUUGGACUAAUCGAUUAAAUUAAAUCAACUAAUUGAAUUAGACCAAUUGAUUAAAUUGAAUUAAUAUCUUGAAUUAAACCGAUUGAUCGCAUAAUAUUAUUUACUAAAUCAGUAAAUUAAAUUGAUAUAAUAUUUAAAAUCGGACUGAUAAAUCAUAUUGAUUUAAAAUAUUAAAUUAUAUCAAUCAAUAAGAACAAAACGAUAUUUAAAAUUAGAUCAGCCUAUCAAGAGUGAUUAUAUUGAUUAUUUGAUCGAGUCUAAUUUAUAAUAAAAUGGCUAGAAAUAUUAUAUAUUAUAUGCUGCAUAAGAGACUUAACAUAUAAUUACAUAAUAUAAAAAAUUUAAACUAAAUUAAUUUUAUAAACUAUAUAUUAUAUGUGAGACUUAACUCAUCAUUUAUUUUUGUACCAAAUAUUUUAAAUUAAAUUAACUCUAUAUAUUAUAGAAUGAAAUUACUCGCAUGUACUGAAUGUGAAGCUUAAUAUAUGACUUAUUUUCUAUGUCAUAUAUAAAUUAAAUUAUAUGAUAUGUACUGUAAUAUAUAGAUGAUGUUUAAUCAAUAUUUUUUUACCAAUUAAAAUUUUUGUUCAUAUUUAUUUAUGAAAAUGCUUGAAAUUUACAUUAUUUUGAAAUGUUUGAUGCAUCUUCCUCAAUUCUUUAAGACAGUUAUGUGGAUUUAUAGAGAAAUUGAAAAAAGUAAUAUUGUAAUGCAAGUUUAUUUUAAUUUUAAUUAAAUUUAAUUGUAUGUAGAGAAUAUAAAAUAAUUAUAAUUUUAAUUCAAUUAAAUUAUAUAUGAAGUAAAUAAGAUGAUAUUGUUUUUAAUUUAAUUUAAUCAUAAUAUAUGUAAUAUGAAUUAAUUUUAAUUUAAUUAACCCAGUUUAUGAUUUAUAUAAAGUGAUUUCAAUUUAAUUUAUUUAUUUUAUAAUUAAUAUAAUAUUAAUUAAUUUUAAUUUAAAUUAACUCAUAUAUAGUGAAAAUAUUAUAAAUUGAUUUUAAUUAAUUUGAUUGACUCAUAUGGAUAUAAGAUGAUUUUAAUUUUAAUUUAAUUGAAUUAUUUUAUAAUAAAAUUAUAAUUAAAUUUAUAAUAUAAUAAAUAUAUAAUUUCAUUUAUAUUAUAUUAUAUACACUAAAUAUAUUAUAUAAACAAUUAUUUUUACAUUAUACAGAAAAAUAAUUAUUUUUUAAUUAUUUCUUAUGUUUUAAAAAUGAAAUUUUGACUGUAAAAUUAUAUGGAUAAAAUAACAUUUUAUAUUAAUGAAUCCUUUUGAUCUAUGUUAAAUGUGAAUUUAUUCGGUUACUCAAUUAUGAUUUUAAAUAAAAUAUAAAUUUUUAAUGAAAAUUAAUUAUUUUCCAUUAAAAAAAAUAAUUUUUUUCCUUCAAUUUAAAUAAUUUUGCUGAUUUGUUUUUAUUAGUGUAUAUCUAUAUUGUUAUUUGUAUUCAUAUAAUAACGUCUACAUAAUCGGAAACAGUAGUGGAACAGAUAAGCCCAACAAAUUAAAAUAAGAAAUAAAAAAUUUGGAAAUUGGACAGGACAACUGCUACAUAACCAAUUUCAAUGAAAAAAAGCAAACCCUCUGGCCUCCGCGGCUCAUUUUCUGCAAAAAAGAGGGAAGAAAGGUGCGAGAUCAGUCAGGGAGUGGGAAAUCAGCGGUUCUCGAACUGAAAGUGAGGGGCGUGGCUGUGGAUCUGCUUCAAAGCCGUUUCCCCUUUUUACCUCACUCGUCGCCGUCCGAUAGCAUUUCCCCUUCAAAACCAGAGUUUUUCAUAGUCAGGUGCUCACUUUUUCUCUACUCUCUUUUGUCUUUUGUAUUUGCUUUCUGUUAUUCUCCGUUUGUAGGAUUCUGAGUGUUUGCUCUUAUCUAGUCUCAGAUUUUUUUUUUUUUGCGGGAUUUUAGUUGAUCUGCUUUGCCUUAUACAAAUUAUGUGCUGUGUUUUCAGGUCCCUGGUUGAACCAUCAUGGCUUCCAAGCGUAUUUUGAAGGAACUUAAGGAUUUGCAGAAAGAUCCACCUACUUCUUGCAGUGCAGGUUUGUGUCAGAUGAUUCAUUUCUUAUUGCUGUCGUUAUUGAUUGUUUUAGAUUUCAGUUACCGGUGCUUAUUCUCAACGAUAUUUCAUUACUGAGGGUGUUGCGACGAUUUAGCCCAUGCAUAGUCUAGUUAAAUUUGUAUUGCGUCUAACUUGUUCUACACUUAGCCUGGCUCUGUGACUCGGGUGGUUGUUAUUGGGGAUUGGGAAUUUGCGUGGGAGAUUAUAGCUUCGAGACAUAGUGCUCCCUCUUUGGAAAAGGAAUGUGGGGAAAAAAAAGAAGCUUGAGUUUUGAUUGCUUUCUCUUCAUGCUUUCAUUUUCCUUUGUUAUUAUUUUCCUUUUCUCCUGGCUAAUUGUUUGAUGAUGUAUUGCGACUUUUCAUUUUUUUUUUCUAGUCACUAUUUGUUCUUUAUGGUUGUUUUUAUUGUUCCUUUAUCCGUUAUGUUUGCCAAAUGGCUUUUUUGGGUUUACAAUCAUGAUGGAGUCUUGAAAAGUUCGGAAGUACUAUUCAUUCAAAAUGUACAUAUCUGAUCAAAUAGGAACAUGUGCAGUAAAACAUUAUAUGCUUUUAGCUCAAUUCUUUUUGUUCUUUUGACUUGAUUCUAUCCUGCGAUUGGUUUUUCAGUUCUCCCGCUUCAUCCUAUCUUAUUCUUAUCUCAUAUUUGGUUUAGGAGUUGGAAAAUUAUUCCAACUUUACAAGUGGCUAAUAUAAUUUCAUGGGGUUGCUGGGUGGGACUGGGACCUUGAAUUGUCCUUCCUUGUAUAAUUUGGGUAGGGAUGAGGAUUUUCCACCUAUCCAUCCUCUUUUCAUCCGAUUCAAUAUGUAUAUUACACUGGCUUAUAACUUUAUUUUAGCAUAGUUUUGAGUAAACCAACCUAUGGAUUCAUGAUUAAUUGUAACAGGUCCUGUAGCUGAAGACAUGUUCCACUGGCAGGCAACAAUUAUGGGACCAUCUGAUAGCCCAUAUGCUGGAGGUGUAUUUCUAGUUACUAUCCAUUUUCCACCUGAUUAUCCAUUCAAGCCUCCAAAGGUAACUUUUAUGACUUAGAAAUGUUUCUAUCCAUGUGCCUGAGAGUAGGGUUGGUAGGUUGAUGGAAAUGUGCGCAAAUGUACGAGGCUUUUGUUUUGUGUUUUAUGAAUUUAUUUUGAGGGAUAAUGUUUCUGUUUUCAGGUUGCGUUCAGGACAAAGGUCUUUCACCCAAACAUAAACAGUAAUGGAAGCAUUUGUCUUGAUAUCCUCAAAGAACAGUGGAGCCCUGCUCUUACCAUUUCUAAGGUUUGAUUUAGAUCCAUGACUUUAGGCUGGUAAUUGUACAGCUUUGUAAGCGAGUAUCAAUGGUAAAUCAACAAUGGAAAAGGAAAAGGAGAACUGUCAUCAUAUAAAUUUCGACCUUCUGAGGCCUCUGCCCCACUUCUUAGUGGUGUUUCCCACCUCUUAUCUCUUGUGGCAGCUGUACUCAGAGUGGAGGGAUCAAUCCCUCCUGAACUUGAGAUUCUGGAAUCUUGAGUCUGAGCAUCCUCCUAAGAAUCUCCCAUGCCUUCCUCUAGCACUCUGAUUCCCAAACUGGUAUCCCUUCUCUGAACCUCCAUCUCUACUUCCCUCAUACUAGCUGACAUCCUUCUUGGAGCCAUUCCUUCUCUGCUCACAUCAAAAGACCUUCCAGGGUCCCUUGAUGUUCCCCAUUUGCUGACUCCCCACGACUGCGCUCUUGGCGGAGCUGGGGAAAGGUGCCCAUACCUUUCCUCUCAGAUGGAACUCCAGUUGAUUCCACAGAUCGACGAGUGCCUCGCAUCCUAGCUCCUCUGAAGAACAACACACAAGCAUUCAAACAUUAGCAUCAUACGGUUCAUAUGAAAACACAUGAACCUGCAACACACAUAGCAUACAUAGCAAAGCUAAUAUCAUGGCAAUAGUUUAAUAAUAUGAUGAAACUUAUAUGCCAAAUUUAGUGUGAUUGGUUUUGGGUAUUAGCCUGCAAAGCAUUAGUGUUACCUUAAAGUUUUUUUGUGAAUUAUUUUGCCUUGGAGUUGGUUUUUUUCCCUCCCUGCAAUUAUGAUAUGGUUAAGAGCUCAGACCUCAGGAUAUGAAAAUAUGAUUGCACGAGUUAUAAUCUUUCUCUUCUCUUCUUGAUAUGUGUCAAUUUCUCAAAAAAUUUGAAUGCCAUUGUGCUGAUACUGAAAUGGGAUUCUAGCUUUGAACUUCUGAAAUUUUCUUCUUGAUAAUUUUCACUUCCAUGCAGCUGAGGAAAUUAGGAAUUAUUACUACCAAUGUAACCAUACAUGCCUUGUCAGGUACUGCUCUCCAUUUGCUCAUUGCUGACUGAUCCAAAUCCUGAUGACCCGCUUGUACCGGAGAUUGCCCAUAUGUAUAAGACUGAUCGAGCCAAGUAUGAAGCAACUGCACGCAGCUGGACACAGAAGUAUGCCAUGGGAUGAUAAAUAUUCAGAUACUGUAUAAAUGGGUUGUGUCUAUUUGUGGAACGUGUUGAAUCCGUUUUAACUUUUGGACUUCGUCUGAGAGGGGGGCUGUGUUAGGGAAUGAACUUUUGUUUGGUGGAACUAAAACUAUGGCUUGGAGAUUGGCUGGAAAAUAACUGUAUGGUCAGGAUGUUUUGAUGUAGACAAUGUCUUAAGCUCUUAUUUUCUCUAGUGUUAAAGCGCUUUUUUUUAACUUGGUGAUUUUGUUACAAUGUAAUAUGGCUCUAAUCGUGGGCCUCUGUUUGACGCAUAUGUGCUAUGGCAUAAAGUAUGCACCGCAGUUUAAGCUUCCUAAGCACCAUUCACUUUUAUGAGAGCAAUAGGCGCUGGUCUCUCUACGGAUAUCAAUUCACCCAAGCUAAUGCUGGUUACAUAUCUGCAAGUACUUGAUAGGAGAAGUUUCUUUAAGCAAUAUGCAGCAUGUUUUUAUAUUGGAGUUGCAAUAUAAAUAUAUGUGAUGGACUAUGUUCAAGUGACAUAUUCUUUAUUUUUUUUUUUCAGUUGACGAGCUAGUACGCAGAUAAUUUAACAUUUGAAGUGUCAAUUCAUUCUCCUGCAUUUCACAUGCGACGGUUCAAAGGUCAGUAAGUUGUUGGGUAAUGGGUCACUAACAAUCCAAUAUAUAUAUAUAUAUAUAUAUAUGGAAGUAGCGUAUGAAUUUGAUAUUCAUGUUUGAAAGUAGUAGGGAGUCGAUGCAGCCGUGAUUGCUUCCUUGUCUUCCCAAUUUGCACAAAGAUUCAUUGGUUUGGAGGCUGCAAGAUAUGUUCACUAACCUUAUGGCAGCAAUAUAAGUAGGUAUUCAAAAAUUGAAACACUACUAAUGAGUAAUGAUCCAUCUUUUACAAUUGAUAUGGUUAAAUUUAUGGCAGUGAGAAUAAUUCGACAGCUAGGCCUUCUUGAUGCAUGUCAACUGUCAGACUUCCAAACUUCAUGAAAUUGCUAUUCGAUUAAUUGAAUUAAUUUGAAUUCAACUUUUAAUGGAUUUCAGAAUUAUAAUCAUUCUGAAUUAAAAAUGAGAGAAUAUUAAAUCUCUCAAAAACUAAAAUAUUUGAUGGAUUAUAUGAUAAUCGAAAUUACAAAAAUAUGUUUAUAUUAUUAAUUAUUAAUUAAAAUACACUUGAAUUAUUUUUUAUUAAUAAAAAUAAUUACUAUUCUAUAUUGUUUAUAAAGAAUAAUUAUAAAUGAAAUAUAUAAAUUACAAUUAACAUAUUAAUGAAUGAAAAUUUGAUUUAUUUAGCUAUUCUAUUACUAAAUACAAAAUAGAUGAAUUGAUUAUAAAAAAUUUUAGAAUUAUUAAUUCAAAAUGGAACUAAAUUAAACACAUCUGACUAAAAUAAUCAAAUUUUAUCAAUCAAAUCUCAUUAUAAUCAAAUAAAGCAAACUCACGCAAAGGGCGACAAGCCUAUAUUGCCACGUAAUUUUCAUGUUUUUAGCCCUUAGCUACGUAGGGCCGGCAAUUUUAAUCAAUCACAUCAAUUUGAUUCAAAAAUUAAAAUUAAUUAUUAAAAUAGUUGAGUUUAUUAAAACUCCUAUCAUUUUUUUAAAUAAAUAAUAAAUGCUUAAAUUUAAUUAAAAAAGAAUCGAAACAAAAUUGGAUCCCAGUACCGAUUGUGGCCAAUUUUAGACGCAGCAGUAAACUCCUCAUUGGUGAAAAUUAAUAAAUAUAUCUAUAUUAGUAAAAAAUAAAAUAAAAAAAAAAGCAUAAAACGAGCCACCGACCAAGUCAUGGUCAAUUUGCACAACGGAUGCACAUAGCGCCCAAGAAGUCACCAACGUUAUUCUCCUCUCACUACGGUUGGCACAUGAUUGGGUAGGUGAUUGCCAAAUGACUAAACGCCCAAUCCAUGGUCCGAUAAAUUCAGACAAAAUUGUGGGUAUUUAAGUAAUUAAAUAUAUGAAAAAAAGGCUAAAGGAGCCGUCAAAACACAGGUUGUCAGUAAAGUAAAACGAAAACAGGUAAUUCCGCCUCAAAACUUCUAGAGAGGAAAACGACAUCGUUGGGAACAAUGAAUUGAACUCUCCUCUGCUUUGCUUACAGAAUUACAGCAGGCGGAUAAAAAAGGACAGGCUGCAUGUGAACGCCGGGAAAAAGCUGGUGGCUCUUUCCUUCCUCAGUUCCUUUGCUUUUUCUGGUCCCAAACUAUUAAACUAAAUCUAGGGUGUUUCUUAUUUUCUUUUAAAAUUUCAAUUCGAAUUUGGAUAUAGCUUCUUCUUCUUCUUCUUCCUCCUCCUCUUCCUCUUCUUCAUCUAAGAAGGUAAUGUUCAUUUAUUAGUCUUUCUGUUUACCUUGAUUUCCUUUUGUGAAUCAGUGUUACUUGAUGUUAAUGCAAGUGCUUCAAUUCAGGUCCCUUGUCAUAAUUCUGAAUCUUCUGCUCUUGUAUACUCGUCAAAUCGAGCCAGGAGAACAAGAAAGGGAGGGAAUCAGGUAUGCCUUUGAUUAUAAUUUUCGCGGCUUCAUUUUAUCACCUAUUUAAAUUUAAUUUUUUCUUCAGUCUCUUCAAGUAUAGGGACUUGAACUUAGAUUAUUUCCGUUUUUUUGUCAUGUUGGUGUUGUUUCUUUUUGUGGAUAACUAAGCUUUGCUUAAUCAGUUCCAAACCAAACCAGGGACUCCCACAAGCCCCGGAUUCAGGAAAAUGAUACAAAAGAAAAUUAAUUCUGGCGUUAAAGGGAAUACUAAUUAAAUGCUAAAGAAUAAUAAAAGCUCUGAUUUGCCAAAAAAAAUAAAAUAAAACAGUUACCCAACUCAACGCUGUCUAGAACUUGAAAUUUCUUCUUUUUUUUUUUUUAAAAAAAAAAAUCUAAAUUACGAAAACUUAAAAUUAUAUUAUGUGGGCAUUACAGGAAAAUAAUAGUUAUAUCCUGCAGGCUUUAAGGAGCAAACUUCAUUGAGUACUCUGGUUUUUCACUUUUCUGAAAUGUCAAAGAUUAGCAUAUUAUGCUAACUUUAAAAGAAGGAUUGGGAAGCUUAAGCUUUGUUUUUCAAAGCUUUAACAGCCCAUGCGAACUUUUUAGUGGCAAAUAUUACUUAGAGGCACAGUUUCUUAAGACUAGAUUAGAAAACUUGAAAGUUGAAAAAGGUGAUGUUUGUAUCCACCCAUCUAUCACAGAGCAAGCAUUGAACAGAAGACAAAUUCCCCAUUUCUGUUUGUUGCUGUUAUGUUGUGGGAACUUUAUUGAGAAACGAUGUAAAAGAACGUGGAUUGGCAAGUAAAAGCAAAGUAUCUUGUGCCAAGUAAUCUUUCAAUCUCUAUUUAAAUGCACAAGUACUAGCAGGUGGAAAACACACCAACUUUUGCAGCAGCAUAUAGAGGUUGUCCUGCUCAUGAUGAUUAUCAUAGAUAGUCCAAAUCACGAUUUUAAUAUGACCUAAAUCAUUUUCAGCAGGCCAGCAUGCUCCCUAGAAACAAUAGUCACCACUUUAGAACGUUGGAAACUCCAGAAUUGCAUGCCAUCCUUGCAUGAGACUUUAACUGGGAAGGCCCAUGUGGAUGAAAAAUUGUCAAGCUAUAGAUAAAAAUGCUUGUCACUUGCAAGUCUGUGGAAAUGUGAAGUUUAAUAUUCUCUUAAUUAUCAAAGUUUUUUUUUUUUCUAUAACCCCAUAUUCAUUCACCUGGCUCUGAGAGAAACCAGAAACUGCUGUUAAGAAAUCAAAUAUGCCAUUUUUUUUCUUUUUAUCAUAAAAUUUUGAUGGAUUCACUUUUGCAUUUUCUGACUUUCAGUACCUUUCUACUGCAGCCGCUAGGGAUUAAAAUUUUGGUUAUCUAUACAAGAUAUGGGACAAUGCUUAUGCUUUGCUAAAGUAAGUGUUUUGAGCUGAUGCAUAUUAUAAUCAUGAUAAAACAAGAAAAUGGAUAUUAUUAUUAUUAUUUUAAAUUCUCCAUGUGCAAGUACUGGUCAUUGCUUUCUGCUACUUCUUUUUCCCUGUGCCUGUCCUCCUAUAGCAUUGUUACUUGUUAGUUCUUAUGUGCAAGCAUGCACGUAGUAUGUGUGUUUGUGUUUGCCAGAAAUCCCUGAACAGAUUAGUUAAUUCUUUCUUUUUGUAGGAAGAAAAAAUAUAUGAAUCAGGAAAAAGGCUCUGAUUAUUCUAUUUUUGUAUUCAAAUUUCCUAGUCAAUACUGCUAAAAAAAGUUAAGAUGUGAGUAAUGUUCAUUGUAAUUUUGUGCAUAAUGCUGUGAAAGAUUUCAGUUAUGGUCUCAUGCAAGUUGAAAUCUUAAAAAUUUCUUGCUAAUUCCAAAACAAUUGGCCCUUCGGAUAAUGUGACAUAAAGGACCUGUGUUGAAUCCGAUUACUUGUCAACCCAGACAGACAAUGCUUUGAUGUUGACUUGCACGAUAGAAUUCUAACUCUCCCUUGAUUUAUCUGAUUCUAAGUCUGAUUCCUACUGUGUUCAAUGGAAAAUCCUAUUGUCAAUUGAUUCACUUAGGUUUAACAGUCAAGACUCAUCAGCUAAUAGGAUUUUUUUUGGUUUAUAAGAAAUGGUGAAAAUGUUAGGAAAUGUUGAAGGUGUGCUUUUGUUUUUUUGUUUGAUGCUGCUAACAAUAGUUUUCUUUGAAAGGGCAGCACUAUCCUCUAUAAGGUAUCCUGGCUUACACAUUGAUGAGAGAAACAAAAUAGAGAGAGUCCAUUUGAAAAUUGAAUCAGAAUAGAGAUUUUUGUUACCUUGCAUUUUGUUGGAAAGAUUUGACCUGUGGGAAAUUUGAAUUUGACAUGCACGAUUUUUUUUAUUGAUUAGAUUUAUUCAUCUAUGCUGGUUUCAUCAAUGUGGACAAGGUUCCAUUUGAUUGCCAAUAUGCAAUGCCUAUAAAGUUGUAAUCGAAAUCCCUCCUAAAAUAAGUUCUUGUCAUUCAUGAAUUUAAGUAACUAAACAAUACAGUAAACAUCUUUCAAAUGGUCUGAACUAAAAUCAUGUCAAAAUUCCAAAUCUGGAAUUAUUCCAUCAAAUGUAGUUAAAUAAUUUGUGAAGACUAGAAGUAUUAAAUACAAAUCUUUAAUGAGAUCAAAUAAAUGGGGAUGAGAUUGAACCUUGAAGUUACUCAAUAUAUAGAAAAAAAGGAGAAGAAUUCACUUUCAACAUUUGGAAUUUAAAAUUAAUAUUGAAAGAGCAGUUGUUGGUGAACAUUACAUGGAAUGUGAAAUUUCUAGUAGUUUUUUCAACUUUAAAUGCAAAACUUGGUGAAAGAGAACCGUAGCUCCAAUUGUUUGUGAAAAAUUAAUUGUGAGCAUCAUCUUCUCGGCUUUUAUUCAAAUGGCAGAUUUGUGCUUAGAAAAAAGCAGCAAUAUCUUUUCUAGUUUAGUAUCAUUAUUGUUGUUGGCUCCUUACCUUGAGCAUGGAAAUAUUUGGUUCCAUGGCAUGGCAAAUAUUACCCUUUAUCCCUCAUCCCUCUAAUAUCUUUACACUUCCAUUUGUGUUAUUUGUUUUAAACUAUUAAUUAUGUCUUUCACACGAAAGCAUGCUUGUUGUGCUACUGUGGAUAAAGGUAAUGACAAAAUUACUAUGUUGAUGACAUUUUUAGCGUCAACAGGGUGAAGGACAUGAUUCUGAUGAGCAUUUUGAAUUUGUUGGCAGUAAUGUGCACCUCAUUACUGCCAAAGAGGCCUGGGAUCAGAAGCUAUCAGAAGCUAAUAGGGAGGGCAAAACUGUAAGUUUUAACUUUGACUUCCAUUUGUAGAAGAGGAUGGCCAUAUUAGCACUUUCUUGGGGCACAUUGCACUAUUAUUAUGUUUUGAUGAUACAUACGCUUUUUACAUUUUAUGAAGUGACUCGGAAGGUCUUUGCUCUUAGAAAAUAUGAGAUAGUAACCUUUCAAGAAGUAUACAACUGAAAUAAGAGAACUAGAAUGCCCAUUCUAAACUUCCUCAACUUUUUGUCCCCCAUGAAGUUGCCUACUUGCUUACAGCUAUUAUGUGCAGUGAUUAAUUUUUUAAAUAGAGACUGGUUUAGAAGUUAUUUUAUAAGUGCUGUUCUAUAAUGUAUAUUCAAUCAUUUACUGAAGAUAGGUGUUUCAGGUUUUGGUGAAUUUCAGUGCAACAUGGUGUGGUCCUUGUAGGAUGAUUUCACCAUUCUACCGAGAGCUGUCUGAGAAAUAUCCUUCUCUAAUGUUCCUGUUGGUUGAUGUUGAUGAACUACCAGUAAGUUGUAAAAUUAUUUCAUGUAUCUGGGAAAGAAAUUUUAUUUACAUUGCUGAUAAUUAGACCCUUCAUUUAGCCUUUAGUGGUUUCUGCCUUCUUGCUUGAUGCAUGUUAUGGAUAAUGGAUAGACCAAAUCUAUGAGAUACAUAUUGAGGAAAUCUUUUCAAAAUCAGUCAGUCUUAAUUAUAUUUCAAUUUAGGAUAGACUUUUUUAUUAUUAUCUUUAUUAUUAUUUAGAUUAGGAUAAACUUUCUAAUAAUUAUCUAUCUUUGUUAUUAUUUAGAUGAGAAUAAACUUUCUAGUUAUUAUUAAUUAUGGUAAGACUUUAAUUUGUUAGGAAUUCUUAUACUAUUGUAAAUGUUUCAUUAUGUAUAUGGGGUUAAUUUGUGAGCAAUGAAAUAAGCAGAAAAAUUAUAAACAAUUUGAGAUUUAAGGCUUUCUCAUUACCGUGACAUGAUCCACCCCCUGGAGCUGAAACAAUAUGACACUCUCAUCAUCCAUCUAAACUCUACAUUGGUAGAACUCUCUGAACUGGAGCUAUACUUUCAUGAUAUCAUCUUCUUUAUUGUGCUGUACAAACAACCUGCAGACUCUGACAAAGAUGUUGGAUAAACAGAUUAAAUAUAAAAGAUCUCUAUGAUUUUGCAGCCUAUUUACUGAGCACUGAUUUUUGCUGAACUUAGUAAUGGCAAUGCGUUAGUAAUUUAAGUUUUCCGUGUCUCUUUUAGUCAGUGUUUGGCUUAAAGAUUUAAAAGUGUUACUGUGUGUAACGCAGGACUUCAGCAGUUCAUGGGAUAUCAAGGCUACUCCUACCUUUUUCUUUCUCAGAGAUGGGCAGCAAGUUGACAAGCUUGUGGGGGCGAACAAGCCAGAGUUACAGAAGAAGAUAACUGCCAUUGUAGACUCUGUGAUUGAUUGUGACAAGUGAUUGUUGUGGUGGUUCCUGCGUUUGAGAGUGCAGCAAUUAGCAUGUUUGUCCAUUGUGUGUUUAAUAUUUUGGUUGUUAAUUGUGAGCCUUUUGUGUGUAGAUAUUGCCUGUCAUGUAAAUAUGACUACUUGAAAAUUUUGGAAUCUGGAGACUGAAUGAGCAAAUUGUUUCUUCUAGUAACGUUGUUCUGGAAAUGUGAAUCUUCUUUUCAUUUUUCCAGUCUACCAUAUUUGAUCACUAUUCUCUCUUUUAUUUCUCUGCCCUUUUUUCCCCCCCAAAAUCAGGAGCCAAAACUUCAAACAUAUGCUGUGACGCUGUUCAGUUCUGGUCUUGGAUUGAUUUGAGAUUAAAAUUAUCUCAUAUUUUAUGUAAUUUUUUUUUAUAGAAAAUAAUGGUUAGUUAGAAUUGAUUAAAAUCUAACUGUAUUGAGAUUAAACCGAAAAUGAAAGACUUGAACCUGACUAAUAACAUCAAAAAAAUGUUAUUUUUAAGUUAUUACAAUCACAGUAGAACUGUCACGGCAUAUGUCUUAAUUUAUACAUCAAGUUUAUUAGACAUAAUUUACACAUCAAGUUUAUUAGAGGUAAAAAUGAGAAUUUGGAUCUGGCAAAAAUGAGAAAUUGAAAUUGGAAACUGACUAAUGUUAAACCUAAAUGAUUGUCUAUACUUAUUAAGAAAUGGUCAAGGUUAAACAUCAUUAUAAAGAUAUAAAUAUUCUCACCACAGCUGUUACUCUACCAUCAUCAAUUUAUUAGUGUUCUCAUUAUUGCAGUUACUCUAUCAUCUUAAUCUAGCCCUAAAUAUUAAAUGAAUAUAAUACAAGUUCUACCUAAUAUCAGAACGAAUUUAAUAAUCGUUACAUUAAAUAUUUAUAUCAAAAUUUACAUAAAAAUAAUUAAAGUGUGUAUAUGAAUCUAUAUAUCAAUAUUUAAUAUAAUUUUUAUUGGGUCUAUUAUUAUACGAAUUUGAACUUUUCUUAUCCAUAUUUAAAAAUUUAUUAUAACACCGUUCUAUAAACUAUUAUUGAUUACUCCCAACACCAUCAUCAAAAUUGUGACCAACUUAUCUCCAUUAUAAUUACUAAAUUUUCAUUACUAGUUCAAUAAUUUUUAAAAUGUUUGACAUAAGUUUUAAAUUUUUAGUCUUACUUGUAAAAUUUUAAUGCUAUUAAACCUACUAACUAUAGUGGUAAUUCAUCUUAAAUUUCUAAAAUUUUCAGUUUUUAUCAAAUGCUUGUUGAGUAUGGUUUAAUCCUAUUGAUAAUACAUUAUUAUUUGUUACUUAAAAUAUUGAUAAUAUUUCUAAAAUAUCAAUUUUUGUCAUUAUAAUAAAAAUGAUGUAUUUGGUAUAGAUUUAUGCAUUUUACAUUCUUACGAGCAGGUGGAAGGAAUGUGCACAGAAUCAUUGACUCUAAGAUAUGAAUUUGCACAACUCAUUGAUUUGCAUACCCACAAAACAAAAGCAAUUCCAAUUCAUACAUAGAAUGGAUGAAAGCAAUAGCUUAUGGUGUGAUGUGGAUGAGCACACAAUAUCUAAUAUUCUUGCUGUGUUUAUUAAUUGAGAUUUUUUUUUCUUUUGGUCCAUAUGACCAAAGCGUGUGAACAUACAGCUCCUUCUUUUAAAAAUACUAUAUUGAUGCGAGCAAUGAGAUCUUUAAAAUUAUCAUUUUUAAAAAAGAUAAUUUCAAUUUGUGAACUGUAAAUAUAAAAUAAGAUAAAAUAAAAUAUGAUAAUGGUUCAUGUGGACGGUGGACCAGUCCAGCAGGUUGGCAAGCUGAAUUUAAAAUUAAAAAUUGGUGAUUCCAAACUCAAUACUCAUGGAUACUAUCUGUGUAUAUAUGUAUAUAUAUAUAAUUUUCUAAUUCUUUUUAAUUGUAUAUGUAUAUAAUUUUCUAAUUCCAUAUUCUUUCUAACCACCUAUUUUUGUAUGUGCAUGACAUGAUAUUGUUAAAAUUUUAUUUUAAAAUUUUUAUAAUAAAAUAAAAUUAAUUUUUAAUCCUAUCUUGAGUAUGCAAACACCGACAAAAUUAAUACAUUUUAGUUUGAAAAAGAAGAGAAAGAAAAACGCAAUCAUCUGCUAAACAAUAGGGUGUCCCCAUUACCAAAUCAACAGCACUUAUAUUAAUGAUUAAUAUAAUGUGUUGGUUAACAUUAAAAUUCAAAUGUACAAAACAAAACCCCUCUCUCUCUCUCCUAUUAUUCAACAAAAAGAUGAGGCUGGCAGCUUAUUCAAAGCUGAAAGCCACCACCACUUGCCCACGUUUUGCCAGCUGAUCCACCUCAUUCUAAUUGGGAAAAGAAGAGAAGACUUGCCAAGAACUAAGUAUGAAAUAUGAUAUCAAUACCAAAUAAUGAAAGUAAUUGUAGAUACAAAUUAUAACUUAAGAACAUACCAUACCACUGGAAAAAGGGAAAAAAAAUGAUAAUUGGGUAAAUGAAUUGCCAAAUCGAUUUCUUGGAUGAUUGACAAUGGAUGUAAAAUUGCAGAUUUUGGUAAAGUAGCAAAUGCAGUCCAUACUUUUGAUCUCAACGACCUUUUGGGUUCAUGAUCUGCGAGAACACAGCACUUGGUGUCAACCCAUCAGAGACUUCACUAGCAAGGCUCCGGCCGCCUAUGCUCAUGCUCAUUCCGCUGCUCCUUGAAUCUGUGAUGUUACCAUCAAAGCCAGGGGCAGCAUCAGGAUCUUUCUUCCCUUUGGAAGCAGUGUUAAAUGGCAUCUCCUCAUCAUCUAUUACGCUGAUACCUUUGCCACUCUCCUCUGCACUCUCCUGUAGCUGCAAAGCAAACUCUAGGUUCCACAGCACAUCUCCCAUUGAUGGCCUCUCAAUGCCCUGAUCAGCCACACAUUUCAUUGCAGUCUCAGCAAACUUUUUGAAGCAUUCAGGUGCAAUCCUCCCCUUCAGAUAGGGGUCAACAAUCUGAUCAAGAAUGCCUUUCUUGUGGCAAUGAGCAGCCCACUCUGCCAAGCUGACUUGCUCCUUUGGCAGUGUCGGGUUCAAGGCUGGUCGAGCACACAGGAUCUCAAACAGCACAACUCCAAAAGAGUAGACAUCUGAUUUAUCAGUUAGUUGCUGCCGCCUAAAAUACUCAGGAUCCAGAUAGCCAAAACUACCCUUCACCACAGUGCUAACAUGGGUGUUAUCCAGCGUAGGACCUGUUUUUGACAAGCCAAAAUCAGAGACCUUUGCAACCCAUUUCUCAUCCAAAAGGAUGUUGGUUGUCUUGACAUCUCUGUGGAUAAUGGUGUGUUUGGCACCAGUGUGGAGAUAGUGUAAACCACGAGCUGCACCAAUGCAUAUCUCAAGCCUUUGCUUCCAAGGCAAUGGAGGCUUUUGGGUUUUGUAUAGAUGCUCACGCAGUGUCCCAUAUGCCAUGUAAUCAUAAACAAGGAUCAUUUCACAGUUCUCCUCACAGUACCCGAUCAACGAAACAAGGUGGCGGUGACGAAGUUUUGAGAGCAUUUCAAUUUCAGUCUGGAACUCAUGCACGCCCUGCUCAGAAAGCGGAUUGCCACGCUUGAUUGCAACUUUUGUAGUUCCACCAUCAACUUCACCCUUGUAGACUUUCCCAAAACCUCCCACUCCAAGGACUAGAGCCUCGUCAAAAUUGUUGGUUGCAGCCUUGAUCUCAGCAAAUGAGAAGUGGCGGCAAAGGUUUGAAGGUAAAGAGGAAGCAUAACUUCCCGUGGUGUUUGUUUUGGCUGAACCAGCAGAGUGAGAAUUUCCAUACAGAGAAAGAGGCAGCCACCCAGAUGGCGCAUCACUUGAACUUGCCUCCUUCCCUUGUCUAUGACGACGAGAGGCAGCAAUAACACAGUAACCAAUGACAAGGGCUAGAACAACCCCACCGCUUACACCACCAGCUAUAAUUGCUUUCUGAUUCUUUGAAUGGCCAGAGCCUGAUGAUGGUCUCACCAAUGAAGGGUCAAUUACUUCCUGUUUAGGAGCAGGGAUUGGAUUGGGCCCAGCAAGAUUACCAUCAGUGCUGCUAAUUUUGAAUAUCUCCACACCAUUUAAAAUUGCAUCAUAAAACUGGGACUUCAAAGCUGAAUCAGUGUUUGGAUGAAGCGCAAGCCACAUAUCCUGCUGAGGGCUCCCAUCAGGAACAAGCACCACAUAAUCCUUAUGCACUGGAACUCCAUUGUGACCUGCCCAGGCAAUCACAUCAGCUCCAUUCUCAGCAGUUUGAUUAUUGAGGAAGAUGUUGAACACUCUUUGAUUAAUUUUGGUUAUAUUUGAAGCAACUUCACAAAAAUGGAGCCGAACCAAAUAACUGAAACCAGAGUCGACGCUGAAAAUCCAAGUCAAAUUGUAAUUCAAAUUGAUGUUAGCGUUUGGCCCCAUUGAUCUAGAGGUAGAAUAGACAUUAAGUGGUGCAACAUAAGGAGGCACGGGGCUUUUAAUUGUCGUGUUUGGAUCAGCAGUCUCUGGAACACCAAAUGCAGCUCCAUAAAGAUAUGGCUGGUCAUCAGACCAAGACCUAAGCAUACCGGUGUCCCCUGAUGGCGAGAUUUCAUUCCCACCCACAUUUAACCGAUAAACAUUCUCAAGUGCAGUACUAUUAUCUAUGGUGAAUGAAGCAUCGUUACCCACUAUCAUUAAAGUUCCAUCAGUAUUACCAUAAAUAUCAGUCAUGGACACUAUCUCAAUCCCAUUGACAAAUGCAUAAGCCUUCGGAGAAUUUGAAGAUGGACCGAAAGUUAUAUUCAAUAUUCCACCAUCCACAUUAAUCGAAUACUCCUUCACAAUGAAGGCAUAAUUCAAAGCUUCCGUUGUUUGAGCUACACUGAAGUUCUUAAGAAGGGUAAAAGACCCAGCUGUGACGGAAAAGAGAGCAUCAGAUGCAUUAAGCCCAGCGUAGGAAGAAGGAUAGAAAUACAGACGGACAAAUUUGCGACCAUCACCCAAGGGGAAACUAUAGGUAAAAGUAGAGCGAAAAACACGAGCAGUCAUGAAAGGGACUUGAGAGACUGCAGGGUCUUGAGUGGCAGCAGGGGAUAUAGAUGAAUUCGCAGACGAUGCCAAAAACUUAGAACCUUUAUCGGCGGUCCAUUUCUGACCAUCGGUAUCGGUGUCAUCCGAAGUUGCUCCACAAUCUAGGAGGAUUUUAUCGGUUGGCAUAUAAUUUUGGGCAAAGGCAACAAAAAUUACGGAGGCCAAACAAAGUAAAACGAGAGCGCAAGCAGGAAACCACCUACCCAUUCUUCCUAUGGACUCCAAUUUGACAAUAGAAACACAAUUAACAAUCUAUACGAAGCUGAAAGUGGAUGAACCCGUUAUCCAAAUCCAAAAAGGUGAAAGAUAUAGAGAAGGCAAAGUCGAAAAAGCAAGAUCUGAGCUGAACCCAGUGACCUCAACCUCAAAUUUUGAGAUAUCAAAAAUUAAAGAGCCCAAAAAAGAACAAGAAACAAGAUCCACAAAAAAAAAUGGCUAUAGAAGCAGAUUACAAGGAGCUAAAGCAAGCAGUAGAUUGCAGGGAAAGCCAAGGAAAGCAACCAUUAGCAGAAAAAGAAAGAGAAUUCAAGCCAAUUUGAGCUGAAGGGAGUGAAAAAGAUAAAAGAACAGAGAAUUCUAACCUUACAGGCGGGGCAGAUAAUCAAACUCAGUGAGUCAAACCAGAGAGAUCGGAGAGGGUUAGAGCUUAGAAGUUUGACAAGCCGGGAGCGAGCAGAAAGAGGCUGAGAUCAGAUGGUGGAGUUGCCCAGUUAUUUUAAGACAGAGAUACUGAUAAGUAGUCAUUUAGCUGUAAAUACAAUUAUUUUUUUUAAAUUGAUAUUGAAUGACGAGAAUGACCUUAGAGGCGCUAACUGAAAUGCUGAGUUGCCAUGUGAUUGGAUGACAGAUGGGUAGGGAAGUGAUUUGCACUUCAAACGCGUUAUUGCCUUAUUGGAGGCGGCGCGACGCGUUUGUCCUUCAUAGGCCCUUGAUGCCUCUGCUUUGAUUGAGUUGUUUGGCAUUCCCAUAUAUGGAUUUUCAAUAGGGUUUGUAGAUGGGAUACUAUGAUAGAUUUGUUAUAGGCAUUGUUAAAUGAUAUCCAUGGAACAUUGGUAAAAAAAAAUAAUUGAAACCUCUAAAAAAAUAAUAAUCUGACCGUCCCGAAAAGUUAUUUUUUUUAUCUUUCUCAAAUUAUAUCUGGGUUUUUAAGUUAAUUUCACAAAUAUUCAUAUUUAAUAUACAUUAAAAUUGAAAUUUAUUAGUUUUAAAAAUGAAAUAAUAUGAGUAAAGUAUAUAUUAAUAAAAGAAAUAUAAAAUUUAUUAUUUAAUUAUAUUUUCAGGAUCCUCAGAAUAUUACCUUAAAAUAUAUCAUCAUAUUUAACUAUGUCUGAAUUUUUUUAACUAUUAGUUGUAUUUGGAAAUUUUUUUUACAGAAAAUUUAGAAAAAAGAAAAAUAUGGGAAUUUUAAAAAAAAAAAUUGAUAAAAGUAAAAAAGAAAGAUUUCUUUUCAUUUGAAAAAUUAAGCAAAUAUUAAAGUUAGUAAGGUGCUAAUGUCUAAACUCUUUAUAUAUAAACAAUGUUAGUUUUAAAUGGAAGAAUGAAGAUGAUAUGGUCAAAGUGAUGAAUUUAAGUACAAGUCAUCUUCGUCCAUUGACAAAGAAAACGCCUGGAAUGCAAUGCAAUAGUAAAUCUUUUGCCAAAAUUAGUUCAACGCCUAUUUCUAAUAAAAAUUUAAUCAUUUUUCUAUAUUGCAUAAAUUAUUGUUUAAUAAUAUUAUUAAGUGCCGACAUAUUAAAGUAAUAUAUUUUUGUAUUUUUCAAAAGAUUGAUUUUUCUAUUAAAAAAAAAAAAAACUUAAGCAAUGCAUAAAAGGAAAUGCUAUCUUUUUUAGAAAAAAAAUUAAAUUUUACAAAUUUUAUUAACACUAUUAUAUUUUUAUACAUAAAUUUUAUUAAUACUCUUUAUUUUUUUAUUGAAUUAUAUUCAAGUUAUUUUUUAUAAAAUAAAGAGAACCUAAAUAUUUAU